This 257-nucleotide ribosomal RNA is filed under the name Triticum aestivum (bread wheat). RNAcentral's name for it is "partial small subunit ribosomal RNA". Lineage: Eukaryota; Viridiplantae; Streptophyta; Magnoliopsida; Poales; Poaceae. The record is from RNAcentral.
CAGCUGCCCUGAUGUCUGCCAUUUACGAGGAGAACAAGGACGAGGACGGCUUCCUCUACAUGACCUACAGCGGCGAGAACACCUUCGGAUUGCUCUAGAUGGCGCUGGCUGCCACGGCAAUCGCUCUGAAUGCCUCCUGUAAAUAAGGCGUGCCAAUCAACUGUGUAUAUAUUCCGGUUUGCCUCGUCGUAGGAUCUUUAAAUUGCACAACCAAGAAAAAUCUAUUCGUGUCCUGACUUAUCCUAUUUGAAUGUUCU